GUCCUCGUAGCGCAAUAGUUAGCAUUUGAUGUUUUUCAGCGUUUGAUUUUCCAGCAUAUCUUUAAGACAGCGAGAGACGUCGGUUCGAACCCGACCGGGGACA
Molecule: non-coding RNA, 103 nt
Organism: Podospora fimiseda
Lineage: Eukaryota; Fungi; Ascomycota; Sordariomycetes; Sordariales; Podosporaceae
Source: the annotation of a GenBank genome assembly